RNAcentral lists this long non-coding RNA (702 nucleotides) under Olea europaea subsp. europaea. The record is from RNAcentral. Lineage: Eukaryota; Viridiplantae; Streptophyta; Magnoliopsida; Lamiales; Oleaceae.
GACAUUUCCAGCAUCCCGAUCAAUAAAAAUUAUCCCGACGACUAUUUUUGAUGAACUUAUAACUCCAACUAUGGAGUCCUCGAGCAUGUGGUGGCCUCGAGACAUUAUGCCCGGCCACAUCCCGCCUGGCUGCUUCGCAUAUUGCAAUAUUUGUCCUCGAGCAUCAGCAGUCCUCGGGCAUAUGCUCCCCUCACAACCUACGAUGGUUGACCCUUUAGAAUUCCUAUGCAAUUAGGACUCUUGACUCUCGCAAGGAUUCUAUCCCACAUAUAAUUAUGGAAUUUGACCAACUCCUUGACUAUUCAGGACUCCAACAGAUAAGGACAUCCAGCUAGUUGAGUCCCACUAGGAGAAUGUCGCUUACUACUAUAAAUACAGAACCUUAAGCCAUUAUUCAGGUACGUUUUACAUAAUUUUCAGUUCAUAGCCUUACGCACAAAUUCUCUCUCUGACUUAAAUAUCGGAGGGGUGACGAGGACACACCUCGACGUCUUUGUUUCAGGUAUCGGAAGAUCACGUUCGUGCUCGUCAUCAGUCGUCCAACUCGGAAUUACUUAGGUACGAUUUUUGGUAGCAUCAUCUUGAAUGGUGAUCUUCAAUUUCACUCAGAUUCGAGAAUGCCCAUGUUUUUUUUUUUGGCAAGAAAGUGUAAUGAAAAUUCCUGCAACUUACUUUAUACAUUGCCCGAGUUAAUAGUGAUCC